GCACUUUAAGCAGUGAAGAAGACUCCGUGGUUAAUACCCGGAGACGAUGACAUUAGCUGCAGAAUAAGCACCGGCUAACUCUGUGCCAGCAGCCGCGGUAAUACAGAGGGUGCAAGCGUUAAUCGGAAUUACUGGGCGUAAAGCGAGCGUAGGUGGCUUGAUAAGUCAGAUGUGAAAUCCCCGGGCUUAACCUGGGAACUGCAUCUGAUACUGUUAGGCUAGAGUAGGUGAGAGGAAGGUAGAAUUCCAGGUGUAGCGGUGAAAUGCGUAGAGAUCUGGAGGAAUACCGAUGGCGAAGGCAGCCUUCUGGCAUAAUACUGACACUGAGGCUCGAAAGCGUGGGUAGCAAACAGGAUUAGAUACCCUGGUAGUCCACGCCGUAAACGAUGUCUACUAGUCGUUGG
This 404-nucleotide ribosomal RNA is filed under the name uncultured bacterium. Its description in RNAcentral is "bacterial SSU rRNA". It matches the Rfam family "Bacterial small subunit ribosomal RNA", at positions 430 to 826 of the family's 1533-position model. The record is from RNAcentral.